Non-coding RNA from Mus musculus (house mouse), 146 nucleotides. NCBI's taxonomy places the organism in Eukaryota, Metazoa, Chordata, Mammalia, Rodentia, Muridae. The record is from Rfam.
UUCUCCGAUAAUGGACAAAGAGACACCUGUGGGUGAUGUUCUUAUAUCAGUCGGGGCAGAGCAGAUGGCAGGCCUUUGUUCAUUUGUUCAUCCUAGCUUGAUGCCUGGCUUGGGGGCUAAAGCUGUCUUAUGCCAAGGACUCAUAA